RNAcentral lists this ribosomal RNA (216 nucleotides) under uncultured bacterium. RNAcentral describes it as "partial 16S ribosomal RNA". It matches the Rfam family "Bacterial small subunit ribosomal RNA", at positions 125 to 334 of the family's 1533-position model. The record is from RNAcentral.
CCAACUCACAAGAUACAACUUACAAUUUGUUGGUUGCUUCUUGUUGGUUGUAAGUUUGAGUGAUUCGCGAUAGCGAAGUACGAUCAAAGCCUUCGGGCGCUAGAGGAGGGGCCUGCGUCUGAUUAGCUAGUUGGUAGUGUAAUGGACUACCAAGGCGACGAUCAGUAGCUGGUUCGAGAGGAUGACCAGCCACACUGGGACUGAGAUACGGCCCAG